UGCAAGUCGAGUGCGCGUCUGUAGCAAUACAGAUGGCGCACGGCGCACGGGUGCGUAACACGUGGGCAAUCUGCCCUUCGAUGGGGAAUAUCUUCGGGAAACCGAAGCGAAUUCCGCAUAACAUUCCUUGGACUUCGGUUCGAGGACUCAAAGCCGUAAGGCGUCGAAGGAGGAGCCCGCGCCCGAUUAGCUAGUUGGUGAGGUAAUGGCUCACCAAGGCAAUGAUCGGUAGCUGGUCUGAGAGGAUGGCCAGGCACACUGGAACUGAGACACGGUCCAGACUCCUACGGGAGGCAGCAGUGGGGAAUCUUGCACAAUGGGCGAAAGCCUGAUGCAGCGACGCCGCGUGGGGGAUGAAGCAUCUCGGUGUGUAAACCCCUUUCGACCCGGAAGAAUGCCUCGCAAGAGGACUGACGGUACGGGUAUAAGAAGCCCCGGCUAACUACGUGCCAGCAGCCGCGGUAAGACGUAGGGGGCCAGCGUUGUUCGGAAUUACUGGGUGUAAAGGGUUCGUAGGCGGUGCGGCAAGUUGGGAGUGAAAUCUCUGGGCUUAACCCAGAGGCUGCUUCCAAAACUGCCGUGCUUGAGUGUGGGAGAGGCGCGUGGAAUUGCAGGUGUAGCGGUGAAAUGCGUAGAUAUCUGCAGGAACACCCGUGGCGAAAGCGGCGCGCUGGACCACAACUGACGCUGAGGAACGAAAGCUAGGGGAGCAAACAGGAUUAGAUACCCUGGUAGUCCUAGCCCUAAACGAUCAGGACUUGGGGUGCCACCCGUUCGGGUGUCGUCCCGGAGCUAACGCGUUA
This 803-nucleotide ribosomal RNA is filed under the name uncultured Acidobacteriota bacterium. RNAcentral's name for it is "bacterial SSU rRNA". It matches the Rfam family "Bacterial small subunit ribosomal RNA", at positions 56 to 862 of the family's 1533-position model. The record is from RNAcentral. Lineage: Bacteria; Pseudomonadati; Acidobacteriota.